RNAcentral lists this ribosomal RNA (399 nucleotides) under Triticum aestivum (bread wheat). RNAcentral describes it as "partial small subunit ribosomal RNA". The record is from RNAcentral. Lineage: Eukaryota; Viridiplantae; Streptophyta; Magnoliopsida; Poales; Poaceae.
AUGGUCAGCUCUCAUCACUCUCUUGGGCGGAGGUUGCGGUUGUGUUUGGUGUCUUGCAAUGGGGGCGCAUGGAUGACGGAAUGCAGCGGCCGGCGUUCCUCUUCUUCGAUCUCGUCGGACAAAGCUGACGGCGUCGGGAUCCAUCGGACACGGGGAAGAACCACGGCCGACGUGCCACAAGGUCUCGGCCUCAUCGCUUGCGGCGGUCCGGUUCAUCGGCUCGAAAAACAUCUUUGUUCGCAAAUGUGCUCCUCUAGAUCUUGGUAUGAAGGCAGUUCCCCUCUUUCUUUCAGCGGCGGAGGAGGACGAUGGCGGGUGACGUCUUGGUCCGGCACAAGAUUGUGCCGAAGUGGAUAUUCGUGCGAAGUCUUUGAUGUGGUAUUGCAAGACAUAUUGUAA